This 2474-nucleotide long non-coding RNA is filed under the name Numida meleagris (helmeted guineafowl). RNAcentral describes it as "lncRNA (ENSNMEG00000002962.1)". The record is from RNAcentral. Lineage: Eukaryota; Metazoa; Chordata; Aves; Galliformes; Numididae.
AUCCCAGGCCGGUCUCACCUUUAUUAAUUGGAGGGAAUGUACCUGAACAGAUGCUCCUGUAGGGGUCAGUUUUUCCAAGUCUCCAAAUGCAAUACAUAGCUAAUGAGACUGUCGACAUACUGAGAUGUCAGGAGUCCACGAAGAUGCUUUGCUAGCUGUGGCUACAGUCAAGUGAGAAAGCAUUGUGCUUUGUGAUGCAGUAUACUUGGCCUAAUGAUGCUUUGGCAGCCGAGGUUUGCUGUCAGGAGCCAUUAAAGCAUUCAUACAAAUACUGCUGUGCACUAGGUGCAGAGACAGCAGCUCCCAGCAUGUCACUGAUUGAUGUAUGGAAUGAUCACUGGAUGGAAAGAUGGAUGGAGGAGCAGGUGACAAGAAGGGUCAACAAAGGAAUCAUUAAUGAAAUGGAUGGAUGGAGAGAAGGAUGGAUUGAUGGACAGAUGGGAUGGACAGACAAGUAGAUGGACAUACAGAUGGAUGGAUGUACAGAUGGAUGAAAAGACAGUGGAUGAGUCACCACAACACCGCCACUGUCCUGCUGGUGCCAGCACUGUCCUAAAUCCACCCAGCCGCAGAUCUUCUCUCUACUUCGAAGACCAGUGUGCCCCCAGGCCUCCACGGGGACCAGUGGGGGUGGUCCUGGGGUACAGAACCCUCAUCCCAUUGGCUGGAGACACUCCGUUGGCUGCUACAAAAACCUGGAACCUUUGGAGGAGGCUCAGCUCUGCGGCACCGGCAUGGAACCAGACUGAUGCCUCUUCUGUUUUGAGAAGCCGGAGGUCCAACAAGCUAUUCUUUCUUUAGCCAAGACGAUGCCCUGCUGCUGUGUCUCCUUCUCUCUAACAGCUGGUGACCAGACACCACAGCCCAGGAUCAAACCUUCUAUGUUUCUGAGUCAGAGGUCUCUGGAAUCUCUCAGAAUUUCCUGCCUGCUAUACAAGGUCAUAAUUGAGAAGUUAGGGCUACAUGAACAUAUAAUUGUUUCUACAAGAACAUAAGACCAUAGCAAAUCAAAAGACCCUCCACCUAAAUGUUGUCUUAACAAGAAUAGUAAUUGUUUAAUAGCAGUACAAAUACAUAGAGCAUUUGGGAAAAACAUUAACAACUGUCUACAACGGUAAACUAUAUAGAAUUAUCUUUACUGUGUGAGGUACUUGGCUCAUGGAUUUGCUUGUGCAUGAGAGGCCACACUGCAAAGCUACAACUGAGCAUGCACUUGGCCUAGUUAACUCUGUCAGGUAACAAUAUUUUGUUUGUGAGUGAAAAAGUUUAUUUGAUAGAGAUAUCUGCAUGGAAGCUUGACUCAGCCAUGAAGUAAGGAUGUAUCUUUAGAGCUCUGCAGUGUAGCUGUAAUGUGUUGCUACAAGUCAGCUAAGAUAAUGUCAAGCCAAGUUUUCUGCAUACUAUAAUGUGAUGUAUUUUUCAAUCUCGUUGUGCUGAAACAAAAGCAGUCAUGUCCUCCUUCUCAUUUGCUCUGACAGAACUGCGUGCACAGAGUUAGUCACUGCUGGGAGCAUUGAUUGUGCCAGGAUGAGUUUUCUGAGCUGUGAAGUGUGAACCAGCAUCAAACCCGUACUAAGGGCUUCCUCCCCAUAAGGAUCUAAACUGUCGUUGCUGUCUUUGGCUGUUGCAGUCAUUUCAUUACUCUGACCACCAUGUAGCAAACCUAGAGAUUAGAAAGCAAGUCACUUGGUUGUGGUUUCUUGGGUGGUCAAGACACGUGUAAUCGAGUAUAUUUCUCAGGAACUGUCUGUCAGGGUUCUGGCAUGGUUCGGCCUAGAACUGUGAUUAAUGGGGUGGAGGGACCCACGGACUUACUACUCUUACUUAUACACCAUUCUAAAUGCAUGCAGCCCGUUGGAGAACAUUAACCAUUGUAAGUAAUAUCAAUACAUAUAGCAAAAUUCAAUAAUGAUGGCUAUACUAAUAAGCUGAAUAUAGCUUGAUGGACAAAAUCUAUCAAUUCUUACAGGUAUUUAAAAGGAUCAAAGAGGUAGAGAUGGGAAAUCUGAAUAGUAUUUAACAUUUCCCAAGAUGUUUCCAACAUCUGCGUGUCUAUCAGUAUUUUGUAGCACUGGUAUAGGUUGGCUUAGCAAUAGGGAUCAAUAUAUUAGCUUAAGGACCAAUAUAUUAGUUUAGCAAAAAGGAAUUAAUAUGUGAUAAUUCUAGAAUUUUCCAGUUUAGCUUUGCUUGGUAUGAACAGUCUUGUUUUUCUGAAUGAUCCCUGCUUCGCUGAAGUGCUGAAGUCACAAUAGGCUACUUCUGUCUUUGUAUCUGUCACGUGCAAGGACUUUUUCCUGGGUUUCAUGUAAAUUGUUUUGAGUUAUAGCACACCAAGACAGAAGGUUGCUCAUUAUGGCAUAACAAGCCAUGGAAAUUUGCCAAAUUGGGGAAAAACAGCUAAAAGGUCAGCCACAGGACACUGUGAUGAAGCUGAAGGAGAAAUAAAGGGGAGGAAGCAGGUGGUAGUAUGAGCA